UGGGGAAUAUUGCACAAUGGGCGCAAGCCUGAUGCAGCCAUGCCGCGUGUAUGAAGAAGGCCUUCGGGUUGUAAAGUACUUUCAGUCGGGAGGAAGGUGGUAAGGUUAAUAACCUUAUCAAUUGACGUUACCGACAGAAGAAGCACCGGCUAACUCCGUGCCAGCAGCCGCGGUAAUACGGAGGGUGCAAGCGUUAAUCGGAAUUACUGGGCGUAAAGCGCACGCAGGCGGUUGAUUGAGUCAGAUGUGAAAUCCCCGGGCUUAACCCGGGAAUUGCAUCUGAUACUGGCAAGCUUGAGUCUCGUAGAGGGGGGUAGAAUUCCAGGUGUAGCGGUGAAAUGCGUAGAGAUCUGGAGGAAUACCGGUGGCGAAGGCGGCCCCCUGGACGAAGACUGACGCUCAGGUGAGAAAGCGUGGGGAGCAAACAGG
RNAcentral lists this ribosomal RNA (429 nucleotides) under Chloroflexota bacterium. Its description in RNAcentral is "Chloroflexi bacterium partial 16S ribosomal RNA". It matches the Rfam family "Bacterial small subunit ribosomal RNA", at positions 355 to 776 of the family's 1533-position model. Lineage: Bacteria; Bacillati; Chloroflexota. The record is from RNAcentral.